AUGACACCUCCUGCUUCAGAAUGGAUUAAGGACAGCGGAUGCACUAAUCAUAUGACUGGUGAUCGAAGUCUUCUCAUGGACUCAACCUUACGUCCAUCCGACAAGAGUCAAAUCACAUUUGCUGACACUGGUAAAGGCAAGGUAUUGGGUCUAGGUAGAGUUGCAAUCUCAAAGGAUCAACACAUGGAUAAAGUGAUGCUUGUUGAAUCCCUUGGAUUCAACUUAAUGUCUGUCUCAAUGCUUUGUGACUUAAACAUGAUUGUGAUAUUCAAAAAAUAUCGUUGCCUUGUACUAAUGGAAUCUGACAAGCCUCUAGUCUUCGAAGGGUAUAGGAAAGGUGAUCUAUACAUGGUAGAUUUCUCAGCAGGUCCACAGCUUGCCGUAUGUCUUCUUGCAAAAGCUUUAGAAUGCUGGCUCUGGCAUCGAAGGCUGGGGCAUGCUGGCAUGAGGAACUUACACACACUCGUCAAGAAGAAGCAUGUCAUAGGCAUCAAAGGUGUCAAGUUCAAGAAAGAUCAUUUGUGUGGUGCCUGCGAAGCUGGAAAGAUGACGAGGGCCAAGCACCCCUCAAAGACAAUCAUGACGACAUCUCAACCCUUCGAGCUGUUGCACAUGGACUUAUUUGGCCCUACUCACUACUCUACCUCACAACAACAUCGUGUCUCUAUGGCUUCGUCAUUGUUGAUGACUACUCAAGAUAUACAUAGGUACACAUAA
RNAcentral lists this ribosomal RNA (717 nucleotides) under Triticum aestivum (bread wheat). Its description in RNAcentral is "partial small subunit ribosomal RNA". Lineage: Eukaryota; Viridiplantae; Streptophyta; Magnoliopsida; Poales; Poaceae. The record is from RNAcentral.